GUGAACUCCCAGGUCAGGUCCUCCUCGACCAGCGCCUCGUCACCGAAGUACUCGCCGUCGGCGAGUACGCCGAGUUCCCGCUCGUCGCCGUACUCUCCGAGGCCGAACCUGCCGACCUUACCGUGCGCGAUCAGGAACACCUGGUCGGCGGCCUGACCGCUCUCCACCAGCACGUCUCCGGCAGCGAAUUCCCGUUGGGCGAAGCGGUCCGCGAGCGCAUCGAGCACCUCGCCGUCGAAGCCCCGCAGGGCGGGCAGCUCGCCGAGUUCGCGCGGAACGACCCGGACCUCGGAUCCGGUGGUCGUGAACGUGAGGAGUCCGUCCCCGAGUACGUAGGUCAGACGGCGGUUGACCCGGUACACGCCGCCGGACGCCUGGACCCAUGGCAGUAUCCGCAGCAGCCACCGGGAGGUGAUCUCCUGCAUCUGCGGAACGGACUUGGUGGUCGUCGCGAGAUUGCGCGCGGCCGCCGUGCUCAGACUCAGCCGGGGCUCUUCGC
RNAcentral lists this antisense RNA (499 nucleotides) under Frankia casuarinae. RNAcentral's name for it is "Frankia sp. CcI3 Saccharopolyspora sRNA 350". It matches the Rfam family "Saccharopolyspora sRNA 350". The record is from Rfam by way of RNAcentral. Lineage: Bacteria; Bacillati; Actinomycetota; Actinomycetes; Frankiales; Frankiaceae.